AUGAGGACUAUUGGUUUGCCUGUUUGUCCUUGGAGGCUGGAGGCCAGACAAGGAAGGCGGAAAACGAAGAGGGGCUGCGACAUAAGGAGAGGAGGCACCGCGGAGAAGUGGAUCCAGACUCAGUUUCUCUGCAGUGAUCACCCACUCACCGGUGCGACUGUCCUGAUUACACAGGUGGCCUCUUUCACAGCAAGGAUCUCAGCAGAUAAGAACUCCUCUCUCCCUAGGUGGGAGGGAGGGGGCACCGGGAAGGCCUCAAGGUCAGGGCCCCACUCCGAGUCUUCUCCAUGCCUUCAGAACGCAGAACAGCUGCAGCCCUGAAUGAGUCUGAAAGGGGGCCAUAUUCAUGCAGAUGACACCUCCCUGGGUCUGGCACUGUGUGGGGCGCUUCAUCUUUGUCAUCUCAUGGGGACUCACCUCAGCUCUGCUAGGUUGUUUCCAUUUUACAGAAGAGAAAACCAAGGCCUGGACAGCAUGCAUGACCUGUCCCAGGUCACACAGCCAGUGAGGGACAGAGGCAGAAGUCCUUUCUAGUCCAUCACGUGGGAAACGGUGAAACAGUGUUUUAUUGGACAUUGAUCAAGGACCACAAACUGGAAGCUCUGGGAGGGCAGGGUCUUUACUUGCCCUUUCGCCAUUCCUUCCCUUGACAAGCACCUAUCACAUGCCUGGCACGGUGCUUUGUGCCAGGGUUACAAACAUGAACGGAUGGACAAGGUCUCUGCCUUUACAGAAUUCCUAGUCCAGUGAGGGAAACCGAUGACUUGUGUGUAAAUAGAUAACAUAUUUUCAGGUAAUGAUGCUGUGAAGGAAGUGCAAAGCCACGGGAUGGAACGAUCGGGGAUGGGUGGGUAGGGCUGCUUUAGAAGCGUAAUCAGGGGAGGCCUCCUAGAGGAGGUGAUGUUGGUACUGAGACCUUCCUGGCAAGUGGAGUCAGCCACGGCAAGUACUAGUGGAAGAAGGAUUUGGACUUUGUCAAAGUCCCCCACUGUGUUGGGAUGGGGCGAAGGUGGGGGGUAGGAGAGAUGGUUCUGGAAAGGUUGGUAAGUGCCGGGUCAUGCAGGGCUUGGAAGGUCAUGGUGCUAAGUGCAGUAGGAAACCAUGGGAGGGUUUAAGAAGAGGUGCUCUGAUUUACAAGUUAGAGAGAUGACUCAGUGGGCUCCAGGAGAAUGGAGUGGAGGAGGGUGAGGUCGAUGUGGGAGCAUGGAGGUCAAAUAAGGGAGGUCCAGGCACCGGAUGAUGGUGGCUUGGAUUCUGGUGUUGGCAGUGGGGAUGUCAGGAGGGAAUCGAUUUGGGAUGUUUUGGAAGGUAGAAGCAACGGAACUUGCUGAUGGCCUGGAUCCCAGCGCCUAGAACAUAGUAAACACUCAAUAAAGAUUCAUUGAAUGGGUGAGCA
Molecule: long non-coding RNA, 1396 nt
Filed under: Felis catus (domestic cat)
Lineage: Eukaryota; Metazoa; Chordata; Mammalia; Carnivora; Felidae
Description: lncRNA (ENSFCAG00000051363.1)
Source: RNAcentral